AGGGGCAUAGUUUAAUGGUAGAACGAAGGUCUCCAAAACCUUUGGUGGGAGUUCGAUUCUCUCUGCCCCUGCCA
RNAcentral lists this transfer RNA (74 nucleotides) under Prevotellaceae bacterium. RNAcentral describes it as "tRNA-Trp". It matches the Rfam family "tRNA". From Rfam's summary of the family: Transfer RNA (tRNA) molecules are approximately 80 nucleotides in length. Lineage: Bacteria; Pseudomonadati; Bacteroidota; Bacteroidia; Bacteroidales; Prevotellaceae. The record is from RNAcentral.